RNAcentral lists this small nuclear RNA (93 nucleotides) under Microcebus murinus (gray mouse lemur). The record is from RNAcentral. Lineage: Eukaryota; Metazoa; Chordata; Mammalia; Primates; Cheirogaleidae.
GGGCUUGUUUUAGCAGCACAUAUAUUGUUAUUGGAACGAUAAAUGGCCCUGCACAAGGGUGACACACAAAUUCAUGAAACAUUCCAUAUUUUU